RNAcentral lists this ribosomal RNA (449 nucleotides) under uncultured bacterium. Its description in RNAcentral is "SSU rRNA". It matches the Rfam family "Bacterial small subunit ribosomal RNA", at positions 26 to 518 of the family's 1533-position model. The record is from RNAcentral.
AGAAUCAACGCUGGCGGCGUGCCUAACACAUGCAAGUCGAACGAGAAAGUGGAGCAAUCCAUGAGUAAAGUGGCGCACGGGUGAGUAACACGUGACUAACCUACCCUGGAGUGGGGGAUAACUGAGGGAAACCUUAGCUAAUACCGCAUAAUACCUACGGGUCAAAGGAGCAAUUCGCUUUGGGAGGGGUCGCGGCCGAUUAGUUAGUUGGCGGGGUAAUGGCCCACCAAGACGAUGAUCGGUAUCCGGCCUGAGAGGGCGCACGGACACACUGGAACUGAAACACGGUCCAGACUCCUACGGGAGGCAGCAGUGGGGAAUUUUGCGCAAUGGGGGAAACCCUGACGCAGCAACGCCGCGUGGAGGAUGAAGUCCUCGGGACGUAACUCCUUCGAUCGGACGAUAUGACGGUACCGGAGAGAGCCCGGCUAACUCGCGCCAGCAGCCGC